GUGGGGAAUUUUGGACAAUGGGCGCAAGCCUGAUCCAGCAAUGCCGCGUGCAGGAAGAAGGCCUUCGGGUUGUAAACUGCUUUUGUACGGAACGAAACGGUCCGGGUUAAUACCCUGGGCUAAUGACGGUACCGUAAGAAUAAGCACCGGCUAACUACGUGCCAGCAGCCGCGGUAAUACGUAGGGUGCAAGCGUUAAUCGGAAUUACUGGGCGUAAAGCGUGCGCAGGCGGUUUUGUAAGACAGGCGUGAAAUCCCCGGGCUCAACCUGGGAAUUGCGCUUGUGACUGCAAAGCUGGAGUGCGGCAGAGGGGGAUGGAAUUCCGCGUGUAGCAGUGAAAUGCGUAGAUAUGCGGAGGAACACCGAUGGCGAAGGCAAUCCCCUGGGCCUGCACUGACGCUCAUGCACGAAAGCGUGGGGAGCAAACAGGAUUAGAAACCCGGGUAGUCC
Molecule: ribosomal RNA, 450 nt
Filed under: uncultured bacterium
Lineage: Bacteria
Description: partial 16S ribosomal RNA
Rfam family: Bacterial small subunit ribosomal RNA
Source: RNAcentral